GAAUUGCUUGAGCACAGAAUUUUGACACCAGCCCUGGGAACACAAAGCAGAAGGAAAGGAGGAAGGAGAGAAGAAAGAAAGCAUUCCCAAAGCAAAGCCUGGGGUUCUAUUUAAAAUCAUGCAACCAGGAAAAGCAGACAUGAGAAACUUACUACACUCACUCUGGAGAAGAUAAAGUGGAGUUCCAGAGGAUUAUUUUCUCACGUAACAUGUUUACAGACUUCGGAGGUUGAGGCGGGUGGAUCACCUGAGGUCAAGAAUUCAAGAGCAGCCUGGCCAAC
Molecule: long non-coding RNA, 281 nt
Filed under: Homo sapiens (human)
Lineage: Eukaryota; Metazoa; Chordata; Mammalia; Primates; Hominidae
Description: HSALNT0396855
Source: RNAcentral